This 121-nucleotide non-coding RNA is filed under the name uncultured Chlorophyceae. Lineage: Eukaryota; Viridiplantae; Chlorophyta; Chlorophyceae. The record is from RNAcentral.
AAAAAAGCAAAUGAAAAAAAGGAAAUCAGUUCAGUGGGUUUUUUUUCUUUCGCUUUCAUCAUUAUUUGCUCUCGUUUCGAUUCAGUGCAACGUCACUUUUCUUAGGAAGGAGGGGAGGGGA